Molecule: ribosomal RNA, 468 nt
Filed under: uncultured bacterium
Lineage: Bacteria
Description: partial 16S ribosomal RNA
Rfam family: Bacterial small subunit ribosomal RNA
Source: RNAcentral
GACGAACGCUGGCGGCGUGCUUAACACAUGCAAGUCGAACGGAAAGGCCCUUCGUUUGUGGGCUGCUCGAGUGGCGAGCGGGAGAGUAACGCGAGAGUACCCCGGCCUUGGGUUAGGUCUAACUUCAGGAAGCUGGGGCUAAUACCGGAUCGCUUCUCCUGCUGCUUGGGGUGGGUUGGAAAGUUUCGGCGGUUGGGGAUGGACUCGCGGCUUAUCAGCUUGUUGGUGGGGUAGUGGCUUACCAAGGCUUUGACGGGUAGCCGGCCUGAGAGGGUGACCGGCCACAUUGGGACUGAGAUACGGCCCAGACUCCUACGGGAGGCAGCAGUGGGGAAUAUUGCACAAUGGGCGGAAGCCUGAUGCAGCAACGCCGCGUGCGGGAUGACGGCCUUCGGGUUGUAAACCGCUUUCGCCUGGGACGAAGCGUGAGUGACGGUACUGGGUAAAGAAGCACCGGCUAACUACGUG